This 18-nucleotide transfer RNA is filed under the name Maratecoara formosa. RNAcentral's name for it is "partial tRNA-Ile". Lineage: Eukaryota; Metazoa; Chordata; Actinopteri; Cyprinodontiformes; Rivulidae. The record is from RNAcentral.
UAAAAAACUUCAAUUCCU